AGCUCUUUGCGCCACACUUGACGUUCUCCAGCUCCUCAUCUUUCUGACGUAGUUGCUCGCUCAGCCUCUGGAUCUCCUGGAAAGAGCACUUGUGAUCACUAUGUAGCCGAUUUCUUUGCACAAACUCUCCAGCAGUGACUUGGACGGCCCGACCACCAGCGUCUGCUUGUCGCCCACCGCCAUGCAAAUCCUUUCGUGGCCGGCCAGCCUCAACUUGAGCUCGGCUAUGAUGUUGUCCUUGAUCGCCAGCUGCUUUGCGAGGAGCUCCAUCUCCUGUCGGCUCUCGUGGUACAGCGUGUUGAGCGUGCUGUAGCUCCGUGUCUUGUCAGCGUCGGCUGGGUCCAUUUUUUUUCCCCUUGGCUUUGGUUAAGUUUUACUAAGCCACCAUUUGACGGUUUCCCGAGCCGUGUUUCCCUUCGAAUUGAGCCGAGGAAGGCGCACUGUUGAUAGGGCGGUGCGGCUUCACGCUGUCGACGAUAAUAUAACCGAGCGGGGGAUUUCCUGGGGAAGUUCCCUUGGAAUUUUGGAGAUUCGUCAAAGUGAGCACUGUGUACCCUUGCAGACUCACCGUCUCCAAGCGACAUGAUGAGACAAAUUGUCAAUUUGUUCUGUUUGAUUUCUUUAAAUGACCCCCCGAAAAGAAAUAUCAGAUAAUCGUGAAAAAUCGAAGUGCUGGUGGCGCGUUCAAUGACUGUGGGAAGUCCAUCGAUUUCAAAUCGAAUUAAAUGAACCUCCGACGAAUUGAAUAUGAAUGAUUGUGUAGAUGUUUAUAAAAUGACUCAAAUACCUGCGCUGAUGUUGACUCAUGGGUGUUUGGCAACGAUUUGGACUAGAACAUUGCAAAUCGCCGUAUGCCAACGUAGUUUACAGGGUGUCUACACUUACCCGUAAACGCGGCAUCACAACGAAUUCCCCUGCAGUUCCGACAAAUACAACCUGUUUUUGUAUUGUCCUUCAAUGCAUCAUGUUGAUAAACACGGGUUUGCUAUUCAAGAGCUGCAGAGAAUCAGACAAAAUUCCAAUUUACUGGUACAUGAACAAAAAAAA
Long non-coding RNA from Syngnathus acus (greater pipefish), 1047 nucleotides. RefSeq lists it as uncharacterized. The record is from RefSeq and is a predicted model, not a curated record. The transcript is spliced from 2 exons. Lineage: Eukaryota; Metazoa; Chordata; Actinopteri; Syngnathiformes; Syngnathidae.